GACGAACGCUGGCGGCGUGCCUAAUACAUGCAAGUCGAGCGGGCUUGCCUAGAUGAUUUUAGUGCUUGCACUAAAUGAAACUAGAUACAAGCGAGCGGCGGACGGGUGAGUAACACGUGGGUAACCUGCCCAAGAGACUGGGAUAACACCUGGAAACAGAUGCUAAUACCGGAUAACAACACUAGACGCAUGUCUAGAGUUUGAAAGAUGGUUCUGCUAUCACUCUUGGAUGGACCUGCGGUGCAUUAGCUAGUUGGUAAGGUAAUGGCUUACCAAGGCGAUGAUGCAUAGCCGAGUUGAGAGACUGAUCGGCCACAUUGGGACUGAGACACGGCCCAAACUCCUACGGGAGGCAGCAGUAGGGAAUCUUCCACAAUGGACGAAAGUCUGAUGGAGCAACGCCGCGUGAGUGAAGAAGGGUUUCGGCUCGUAAAGCUCUGUUGGUAGUGAAGAAAGAUAGAGGUAGUAACUGGCCUUUAUUUGACGGUAAUUACUUAGAAAGUCACGGCUAACUACGUGCCAGCAGCCGCGGUAAUACGUAGGUGGCAAGCGUUGUCCGGAUUUAUUGGGCGUAAAGCGAGUGCAGGCGGUUCAAUAAGUCUGAUGUGAAAGCCUUCGGCUCAACCGGAGAAUUGCAUCAGAAACUGUUGAACUUGAGUGCAGAAGAGGAGAGUGGAACUCCAUGUGUAGCGGUGGAAUGCGUAGAUAUAUGGAAGAACACCAGUGGCGAAGGCGG
RNAcentral lists this ribosomal RNA (736 nucleotides) under uncultured Bacilli bacterium. RNAcentral describes it as "bacterial SSU rRNA". It matches the Rfam family "Bacterial small subunit ribosomal RNA", at positions 28 to 724 of the family's 1533-position model. Lineage: Bacteria; Bacillati; Bacillota; Bacilli. The record is from RNAcentral.